Molecule: transfer RNA, 75 nt
Filed under: Candidatus Uhrbacteria bacterium CG10_big_fil_rev_8_21_14_0_10_48_11
Lineage: Bacteria; Candidatus Uhriibacteriota
Description: tRNA-Arg
Rfam family: tRNA
About the family: Transfer RNA (tRNA) molecules are approximately 80 nucleotides in length.
Source: RNAcentral
GCCUCUAUAGCUCAACGGAUAGAGCACUGGUCUUCGGAACCAGGGAUGGGGGUUCGAUUCCCUCUGGGGGCACCA